This 92-nucleotide ribosomal RNA is filed under the name Aerococcus urinae. Lineage: Bacteria; Bacillati; Bacillota; Bacilli; Lactobacillales; Aerococcaceae. The record is from RNAcentral.
CCACCUGUAUCCAUCCCGAACACAGCAGUUAAGCUUCUUAGCGCCGAAUGUAGUUGGGGGUUGCCCCCUGUGAGACUAGGACGUUGCCGUGC